CUACGGGGCGCACCAGUGAGGAAUAUUGGGCAAUGGGCGGGAGCCUGACCCAGCCAUGCCGCGUGCAGGAUGACGGCCCUACGGGUUGUAAACUGCUUUUGCACGGGAAGAACGGCCCCGACGUGUCGGGGAUUGACGGUACCGUGCGAAUAAGCACCGGCUAACUCCGUGCCAGCAGCCGCGGUAAUACGGAGGGUGCAGGCGUUAUCCGGAUUUAUUGGGUUUAAAGGGUGCGUAGGCGGAACUGUAAGUCAGUGGUGAAAUCCCCCCGCUCAACGGGGGAACUGCCAUUGAUACUGCGGUUCUCGAGUACAGUCGAGGUAGGCGGAAUGUGUCAUGUAGCGGUGAAAUGCUUAGAUAUGACCCAGAACACCGAUUGCGUAGGCAGCUUGCUAGAUUGUCACUGACGCUGAUGCACGAAAGCGUGGGUAGCGAACAGGAUUAGAUACCCCGGUAGUC
This 459-nucleotide ribosomal RNA is filed under the name uncultured bacterium. RNAcentral describes it as "partial 16S ribosomal RNA". It matches the Rfam family "Bacterial small subunit ribosomal RNA", at positions 339 to 795 of the family's 1533-position model. The record is from RNAcentral.